GGGCCAGUCAGUGUGAGUUAUUUAAAUAAAUCUUGUGUUUAAUGGUGAACUAUGCCCGGGCAGGGCGAAGCCAGAGGAAACUCUGGUGGAGGCCCGCAGCGGUCCUGACGUGCAAAUCGGUCGUCCAACCUGGGUAUAGGGGCGAAAGACUAAUCGGACCAUCUAGUAGCUGGUUCCCUCCGAAGUUUCCCUCAGGAUAGCUGGCACUCGGACCUCAGUUUUAUCCGGUAAAGCUAAUGACUUAGAGGCAUUGGGGCCGAAACGAUCUCAACCUAUUCUCAAACUUUAAAUGGGUAAGAAGCCCGGCUCGCUGGCUUGGAGCCGGGCAUGGAAUAAGAGUCGCGAGACUUACACCCUCUCCCCCGGAUUUUCAAGGGCCAGCGAGAGCUCACCGGACGCCGCCAGAACUGCGGCGCUUUCCAGGGCGUGGGCCCCUAUCUCGGGGUGAACCCGUUCCAGGGAGCCCGGCCCUUCACAAGGAAAAGAGAACUCUUCCCGGGGCCCCCGCCGGCGUCUCCGGGUUCGUUGUAUUUACAAUGUUAGUCAAAGUGACGGGGGAAAGUGUUGGUAUGUGUCCGGAUGUAGCCUUUACCCUCCUUCCUCACCUUUCUGCUGGGAGAAUGCAAAGGUGGCAUAUGCUUUUUGCUGUUCAACCCAAAAACCAACCCACACACACACACACACACACACACACACACACACACACACACACACAGCGCAGUGAAUUCCUCAGGAGUCUGCUCAGAAGCAGCCUCCAGGGGGGAGCUGUCCCCUCCCUCCCUUCCUCCGUGCUUUCCUCCUCUCUGCACCCUCCCCUCUGUCAACACACACUGUUUAAAGGGAACAUUGGACCACACCAUUAGACAAAAAAAGUCAAACCCAGGGGAAUUGUGAGGAUGAGAAAUGAAUGCCAGGUCUCAGUCAGCGUUCAGCAUUUCCACCUGUCCUUUUUCCAGCUGCAGCCGAGACCUCAGCUGAACUGCUUUGGGGUUUGAACCAUUUCAGGGCAUUUUCACCUUCGUUUCAAGGAUCUUAAGGGAUUAUAGAGUUAUUUCAUAGCUAUAGCCGGUGGCCUGAGAAUUCCUGGCUCUACGUUUGUGAGGCAGGAAAGCCUGGGCUCCAACUUGGUAUUGUUCCAACUAUGAGGCCCCAGCUGGAAGCCAGAGUUAUAAGAGAAACUCUAUAGCCAGACUUGGAGGAGCGAGAGGAGCAAGAAGUGCCAGAUCUGCACAUAUUUUCUCAAUGCCGGCUUUCUGUACUAUCAGAAGUGAGGGAUUUGAAACCCCACAGCAUUUCUCAUGACUGCUUCGCCCACUGCUGUCUGACUUUGAAGUCCACAGCUAACAAUAUCUCCACAUCAGGAGAGAGCCAGAGCAUGGGUCAAAAGUACAUGAAGUGUGUGCAGAUGUGACUGGGUUCAUCAUGCAUACACAGUUCUAGUAAAUGCUAUCCAGCUAAAGUAAUCUUGCAUCACUUCAUUGAAUUUUGAUCUUUGUCAGAUUUUUUUCUUGUACAUAUCGAAAGUGGGAUCACAUGAACAUGCCAUCUUAAAGCAUAGAAAUAGUCUAUGUACAAUAUUUUUUAAUGCUAAGGCCACUAUUAGAUUGCCUAGGAUCCUUAUAACUUAAUCCUCAUUAAAAUAGCUAGGAUUUGAAUUUUUGUUUAAAAAUGACUUUAUUAGUGUUAAUAAAUCUGUUCCAGGCUUAACAUUUAACUUAAUGUUGUUUACUAUAGCUAGGUAUACCUUUAGCUUUCAGCAUAUUAAAAGUUUGAAAAGCUUAUUCUCCAUCUAGUCUACAUUUUAAGACUGGGAUUCUCAGACUCUGCUUUAAGCUUACUGUGUGUGGAGAGAAAAACCCAUGACCUCAGAUAACUCUGGGUUUCUCUUAAUAGAACAACCAUUAUUCAUGACAGCAUCACGUAAAUAGAUAGUAUGUCAGUUUUUUGUUUUGUUUUGUUUUUUUGUUAUAGUGUUGCGGCCCAAAUUGCUCGAUUUUGCUGCGG
Molecule: long non-coding RNA, 2004 nt
Organism: Ictalurus punctatus (channel catfish)
Lineage: Eukaryota; Metazoa; Chordata; Actinopteri; Siluriformes; Ictaluridae
Source: Ensembl